UUACCUGGAUGAGCUGAAUUAGGCUCAGAUGGCCAAUCGAUUGAUCUUGCAAGAUGAUGAGGGCAUUUAGUUUGAAGGUAG
RNAcentral lists this small nucleolar RNA (81 nucleotides) under Oryza sativa (Asian cultivated rice). RNAcentral's name for it is "box C/D snoRNA J36.1". The record is from RNAcentral. Lineage: Eukaryota; Viridiplantae; Streptophyta; Magnoliopsida; Poales; Poaceae.